GUAGGUGGCAAGCGUUGUCCGGAAUUAUUGGGCGUAAAGCGCGCGCAGGCGGUUCUUUAAGUCUGAUGUGAAAGCCCACGGCUCAACCGUGGAGGGUCAUUGGAAACUGGAGAACUUGAGUACAGAAGAGGAAGGCGGAAUUCCACGUGUAGCGGUGAAAUGCGUAGAGAUGUGGAGGAACACCAGUGGCGAAGGCGGCUUUCUGGUCUGUAACUGACGCUGAGGCGCGAAAGCGUGGGGAGCAAACAGGAUUAGAUACCCUGGUAGUCCACGCCGUAAACGAUGAGUGCUAAGUGUUAGGGGGGUUUCCGCCCCCCUUAGUGCUGCAGCUAACGCAUUAAGCACUCCGCCUGGGAGUACGGCCGCAAGGCUG
This 373-nucleotide ribosomal RNA is filed under the name uncultured organism. RNAcentral describes it as "partial 16S ribosomal RNA". It matches the Rfam family "Bacterial small subunit ribosomal RNA", at positions 527 to 896 of the family's 1533-position model. The record is from RNAcentral.